Molecule: ribosomal RNA, 438 nt
Filed under: uncultured Bacilli bacterium
Lineage: Bacteria; Bacillati; Bacillota; Bacilli
Description: bacterial SSU rRNA
Rfam family: Bacterial small subunit ribosomal RNA
Source: RNAcentral
GCCACGAUGCAUAGCCGACCUGAGAGGGUGAUCGGCCACAUUGGGACUGAGACACGGCCCAAACUCCUACGGGAGGCAGCAGUAGGGAAUCUUCGGCAAUGGACGAAAGUCUGACCGAGCAACGCCGCGUGAGUGAAGAAGGUUUUCGGAUCGUAAAACUCUGUUGUUAGAGAAGAACAAGGAUGAGAGUAACUGUUCAUCCCUUGACGGUAUCUAACCAGAAAGCCACGGCUAACUACGUGCCAGCAGCCGCGGUAAUACGUAGGUGGCAAGCGUUGUCCGGAUUUAUUGGGCGUAAAGCGAGCGCAGGCGGUUUCUUAAGUCUGAUGUGAAAGCCCCCGGCUCAACCGGGGAGGGUCAUUGGAAACUGGGAGACUUGAGUGCAGAAGAGGAGAGUGGAAUUCCAUGUGUAGCGGUGAAAUGCGUAGAUAUAUGGAG